GUGGUCGACUCCUGUUACCUGC
Molecule: non-coding RNA, 22 nt
Filed under: Arabidopsis thaliana (thale cress)
Lineage: Eukaryota; Viridiplantae; Streptophyta; Magnoliopsida; Brassicales; Brassicaceae
Source: RNAcentral